Molecule: long non-coding RNA, 696 nt
Organism: Eurytemora carolleeae
Lineage: Eukaryota; Metazoa; Arthropoda; Copepoda; Calanoida; Temoridae
Exons: 3
Source: RefSeq, a predicted model, not a curated record
AAAUGUUUGAUGGAAUAAAUUGGACUGACUUCUGGGAGAGCAUACCACUGCACUGUGCUGUUCCUUUUGGCGAAAGUGGAGUCAUACUGCUUGGAGGAAGCCAUGUUGUGCACUGUAUGAAGAGGAAAUAUGGACUGUCGGUGACUAUAUAAGGAUAAAAACCUGGAUAAAGUUGAAAUUCUAAAUUUGGAAACAUUAACUUGGAGAACUGAGCAGGCCCUUCACUGAUACAAGCCCGCAAUAUAGUAUAACAAUGGAAUAACUUGAUGAUGGUAUUGCGGUGUUUGGAGGGAUUGGCGUGUUGGACAGCUUAGAGAAGUUUCAGGACAGGGGUUGAAGUCUUAGAUCUUUAAAUAAUUGAAUAUGCAUGGAGAACAUUUGUUUCUGUAACUAUUACUUGUUAAUCCUAAAAAAAGCUGGGGAAGGGGUGUUUAUCCGUAAACUUUUUUUUGAUUCACACUUCUAAUCUAAAUUCGACAGUUUUAAAAAAUAAAUAUUAAACAAUGUUUUUAUGUUCUUACUUGUAGAAAACAAAACGUUUAAUUUUUUACAUUUUACGACUUUUUUCCAUUUUUAUAUAAAACCUCCCUAGCACGCGAACCUUUAAAGAUUAGCAGUCUAGUUUUUGUAUCAAUGGCGCUGGCCUUGAAAGAUUAUUUCAACUCCAUGCCUUUUUCUAAUGGGGGGGGGGGUCCG